Molecule: small RNA, 29 nt
Filed under: Bombyx mori (domestic silkworm)
Lineage: Eukaryota; Metazoa; Arthropoda; Insecta; Lepidoptera; Bombycidae
Description: ovarian small RNA-25371
Source: RNAcentral
UCACUACCGGUAUUGAACCUGCUGAUCAC